Molecule: transfer RNA, 70 nt
Filed under: Exophiala sideris
Lineage: Eukaryota; Fungi; Ascomycota; Eurotiomycetes; Chaetothyriales; Herpotrichiellaceae
Description: tRNA-Thr (AGT) (tRNA-Thr-AGT-2-1)
Rfam family: tRNA
About the family: Transfer RNA (tRNA) molecules are approximately 80 nucleotides in length. Their secondary structure includes four short double-helical elements and three loops (D, anti-codon, and T loops). Further hydrogen bonds mediate the characteristic L-shaped molecular structure. tRNAs have two regions of fundamental functional importance: the anti-codon, which is responsible for specific mRNA codon recognition, and the 3' end, to which the tRNAs corresponding amino acid is attached (by aminoacyl-tRNA synthetases). tRNAs cope with the degeneracy of the genetic code in two manners: having more than one tRNA (with a specific anti-codon) for a particular amino acid; and 'wobble' base-pairing, i.e. permitting non-standard base-pairing at the 3rd anti-codon position.
Source: RNAcentral
GCUUUAACUCAGUUGGUAGAGUGCGACACUAGUAAUGUCGAAGUCACUGGUUCAAAUCCAGUAGGGAGCA